GCCAGACUCCUACGGGAGGCAGCAGUGGGGGAUAUUGCACAAUGGGGGGAACCCUGAUGCAGCGACGCCGCGUGGGUGAAGGAGCGUUUCGGCGCGUAAAGCCCUAUCGGCAGGGAAGAAGGAGGACGGUACCUGACUAAGAAGCCCCGGCUAACUACGUGCCCGCAGCCGCGGGGAUACGUAGGGGGCAAGCGUUAUCCGGAUUUACUGGGUGUAAAGGGGGCGCAGACGGCAGCGCAAGCCAGGAGUGAAAGCCCGGGGCCCAACCCCGGGACUGCUCUUGGAACUGCGCGGCUGGAGUGCAGGAGGGGCAGGCGGAAUUCCUGGUGUAGCGGUGAAAUGCGUAGAUAUCAGGAGGAACACCGGUGGCGAAGGCGGCCUGCUGGACUGCGACUGACGUUGAGGCCCGAAAGCGUGGGGAGCAAACAGGAUUAGAUACCCCAGUAC
Molecule: ribosomal RNA, 447 nt
Filed under: uncultured bacterium
Lineage: Bacteria
Description: partial 16S ribosomal RNA
Rfam family: Bacterial small subunit ribosomal RNA
Source: RNAcentral